CUAAUAACAAAAAAUAAAAGCUAAAAAGGGCAAGUUAUCAAACGCCGUUGUCCAAGAGCAUUUCUCCAUUUAAAAUGCUUAUCUAUGUUCCUCCAAAAUGGCCCCAAAUUCUUUGAAUUAUUGUUGAGCUUGAGUGAAUUCCAUAUAUACACCUAAUAUCUCACGAGUUUUAUGGAAUCGAUCUCCUUGAAGACUUCUUCAACUCAAAAAGGGUUUCAACAACAGAUCUAGCAGCUUGUAGCCUCAACCUGACAAUCUUCGUUAAGAAUCAGCCUUGUUGAUAAUUCCUCUUGAGUUUUUCCUUCUACGCAGAAUGAGCUCCAAAGAACUGAUACCACUGUGAAGAGAUCCAUCUCCAAGAGUACAUGUCAUCUUCCAAUGGUUGAUACGACCUCAGCUAAGAGACGCUUGACUUCGAAUUUAAAGGUGAACUACUCUUUUGGGAAGUCAUUAGUUCCUCCAAAUCUUCUUUUCCAUCUUUUCAGACAAAGACAUUUUAGAUUGUUAUGUUUAUGUUUUAGUUCCGAGAUUGCAUUCUAGUUUCGACUAUUAAUUGCAGUUUUAAUAUGAUGACUUUCGGAUUCUAAGGGUUAAAUUUGACAAUUGUUAUGAUGAUUUAGUUGAAUUUAUGGGAACUCAAUCUUUUAUUUGUGUUGGACUA
This is a long non-coding RNA of Solanum pennellii, 661 nucleotides long. RefSeq lists it as uncharacterized. The record is from RefSeq and is a predicted model, not a curated record. NCBI's taxonomy places the organism in Eukaryota, Viridiplantae, Streptophyta, Magnoliopsida, Solanales, Solanaceae. The transcript is spliced from 2 exons.